Molecule: long non-coding RNA, 1806 nt
Filed under: Linum usitatissimum (flax)
Lineage: Eukaryota; Viridiplantae; Streptophyta; Magnoliopsida; Malpighiales; Linaceae
Description: long non-coding RNA (LUSI_LNC003466)
Source: RNAcentral
GGAACUUUGAGACAAUUGACUUUUUUUUACGCGGUCCGAGAAGUCGCGAGUGCUGUUGGUCAUUUUUAUUCUCUUAUAUGUUUUAGGGUUACUUAGCAUUGAUUUUAUUCAAGCGGAAGAUGACAUUUUCUUACCGUUGUUGCCUUCUUACUAUAUUCCCUUUUCCAAGGAGGUCUACUAUGAGAGACGUCGUUGGGGUUUCGUUUUGUGUGUGUGUUCGAUCUUCUUUGGAAGGAAGAAUCAUUCGUUAAAUGAAGAACAAACAACUUGGUCUUACUAAUGAAAGCCUUUGGUACAUUGAAAGUUCUCGAGUCGGUGGUGGUCGUCGCUUCCUGAAUGCAAAAUUCUGACAGUUUCAAGGUAUGUCAUUCUUUCAGUCUUCAAAAUUGGGGGUUAUCACAUCAGUGGGCUUUUAUAAAUUCGAGGAAGAUUGGUGAUAGGAAGCGAUAUCGAUUUGCUGAUUCUUGUUGAAGGAAUGAGUUUCUUGCCAUCCGUUGCCCAUUUAUUGAUAGAUAGCAGCGAGCGAACAUAUAUGAAGUGUCAUGGAAAGAACAAUUUAGUCUGGUUUUCGAAAUUCCAUUUAAUGUGGCGAUAUACACUCUUCGUGGAUCAAAUGCAAUUAAUCGGAGGAGUUAUCUACAGGGUGCUCUCUCUCCCUUAGCGCAUGCUUAUUAUCGGGAUCAUGCGGGUAAAAGCUUUUGAUAGAAGGUGUUAAAGGGCAGCGAUUUUAUAAUUUGAAUCAACCAUAUUACAGUGAAGGAAGAUAUCAUUCUCGUUAUUGAGAUAGCUGAUGGUCUUAUAAAAAAAUCGUGCUUUCUCCUGGUUGCUCUUUUGCCUUAGAUUAUGAGUUUGGUUUUUGUGCAAGUGAAAAUUAGAAAGUCCAACUUGGUUGUCAUGAUUGUGCUUUUUUCUUUUGUUCUGACUCUGUCAAUUCAGUAAAACUGUAAAGUCCUUAAAGGGAAUUGGUUAUGGCUUGUUGCCCUUCUGCCUUGCAUUAAGAUUUUGGCUAUGUCGAUUCACUAAGUGAAGAUGCUAAGGUCCUAUAAGGGAACCCUUAUAAUGCUGGACUGCUGGUUGCCCUUAUGCCUCGCACUAGGAUUCUAGCAGUGGAAAUUCUAAAACUAAACUGAGAAGGUAUUUAAAGAUAACAUUUGCCUCAGAUUAUUCUGCAAGUGAACCUUUUGUUCCAUCCGUCAAUUCAGUAAAACAGUAAGGUCCUAGAAGGGGACUAGUUAGUGCUUUCUUGUUGCCCUUCUGCCUUGCACUAAGAUUGUGGUUAUAUCGAUUCACUAAAACUGUAAGGUUCUAGAAGGGGACUAGUUAGUGCUUUCUUGUUGCCCUUCUGCCUUGCACUAAGAUUGUGGUUAUAUCGAUUCACUAAAACUGUAAGGUUCUAGAAGGGGACUAGUUAGUGCUUUCUUGUUGCCCUUCUGCCUUGCACUUAGAUUGUGGUUAUAUCGAUUCGCUAAGUAAGGACGGUAAGGUGCUAGAACGGGGCCUAUCUUAGUGUUGGUUGUGUUUCUUGCUUUCCAUAGGAUUCUAGUUGUGGGAAUGCUCCAACUAGACUCAGAUGGUAUUUAAAGAUGAGAUGAGGUUUGCCUCAGAAAAUUGGAAGGACCGAGAACGGGACUAGUUCGUGCUUGGUUGUUGCCCUUCUGCCUUGCACUAAGAUUGUGAUUAUAUCGAUUCUCUAAAACUGUAAGGUCCUAGAACGGGACUAGUUUGUGCUUGGUUGUUGCCCUUCUGCCUUGCACUAUGAUUGUGGUUAUAUCGAUUCUCUAACACUAUAAGGUCCUAGAAGGGGAC